AGCAGCAGCCAUAUCACUCUGCAACUCCCAACUAGCAGCCCACUGAAGCUAAGCAGGUGUGAGCCUGGUAAGUACCUGGAUGGGAGACCUCCUGGGAAAAACUAAGGUUGCUGCUGGAA
Lepisosteus oculatus (spotted gar) is the source of this 119-nucleotide ribosomal RNA. The record is from Rfam. Lineage: Eukaryota; Metazoa; Chordata; Actinopteri; Semionotiformes; Lepisosteidae.